AACCACUCACGCCUGGCGUGGUGUUGGGGCACGCGGUCUCGCGGCCCUCAAAAGCAGUGGCGGCGCCGGUGGGCUCUAAGCGUAGUACAUACUCCCGCUAUAGAGUUCCCUCGGUGGCUCGCCAGAACCCCCUAAUUUUUACC
This 143-nucleotide unclassified non-coding RNA is filed under the name uncultured Phialocephala. RNAcentral's name for it is "sequence contains ITS2". Lineage: Eukaryota; Fungi; Ascomycota; Leotiomycetes; Helotiales. The record is from RNAcentral.